This is a non-coding RNA of Triticum aestivum (bread wheat), 135 nucleotides long. NCBI's taxonomy places the organism in Eukaryota, Viridiplantae, Streptophyta, Magnoliopsida, Poales, Poaceae. The record is from Rfam.
CAACUACUCCCUCUGUCCCAAAUUUCUUGUCUUAGAUUUGUCUAGAUACGGAUGUAUCUGAUACUAAAAUGUGACUUGAUACAUCCGUAUCUAGACAAAUCUAAGACAAGAAUUUUGGGACGGAGGGAGUACUUU